This 2874-nucleotide ribosomal RNA is filed under the name Escherichia coli. RNAcentral describes it as "partial 23S ribosomal RNA". It matches the Rfam family "Bacterial large subunit ribosomal RNA". The record is from RNAcentral. Lineage: Bacteria; Pseudomonadati; Pseudomonadota; Gammaproteobacteria; Enterobacterales; Enterobacteriaceae.
GGUUAAGCGACUAAGCGUACACGGUGGAUGCCCUGGCAGUCAGAGGCGAUGAAGGACGUGCUAAUCUGCGAUAAGCGUCGGUAAGGUGAUAUGAACCGUUAUAACCGGCGAUUUCCGAAUGGGGAAACCCAGUGUGUUUCGACACACUAUCAUUAACUGAAUCCAUAGGUUAAUGAGGCGAACCGGGGGAACUGAAACAUCUAAGUACCCCGAGGAAAAGAAAUCAACCGAGAUUCCCCCAGUAGCGGCGAGCGAACGGGGAGCAGCCCAGAGCCUGAAUCAGUGUGUGUGUUAGUGGAAGCGUCUGGAAAGGCGCGCGAUACAGGGUGACAGCCCCGUACACAAAAAUGCACAUGCUGUGAGCUCGAUGAGUAGGGCGGGACACGUGGUAUCCUGUCUGAAUAUGGGGGGACCAUCCUCCAAGGCUAAAUACUCCUGACUGACCGAUAGUGAACCAGUACCGUGAGGGAAAGGCGAAAAGAACCCCGGCGAGGGGAGUGAAAAAGAACCUGAAACCGUGUACGUACAAGCAGUGGGAGCCUCUUUAUGGGGUGACUGCGUACCUUUUGUAUAAUGGGUCAGCGACUUAUAUUCUGUAGCAAGGUUAACCGAAUAGGGGAGCCGAAGGGAAACCGAGUCUUAACUGGGCGUUAAGUUGCAGGGUAUAGACCCGAAACCCGGUGAUCUAGCCAUGGGCAGGUUGAAGGUUGGGUAACACUAACUGGAGGACCGAACCGACUAAUGUUGAAAAAUUAGCGGAUGACUUGUGGCUGGGGGUGAAAGGCCAAUCAAACCGGGAGAUAGCUGGUUCUCCCCGAAAGCUAUUUAGGUAGCGCCUCGUGAAUUCAUCUCCGGGGGUAGAGCACUGUUUCGGCAAGGGGGUCAUCCCGACUUACCAACCCGAUGCAAACUGCGAAUACCGGAGAAUGUUAUCACGGGAGACACACGGCGGGUGCUAACGUCCGUCGUGAAGAGGGAAACAACCCAGACCGCCAGCUAAGGUCCCAAAGUCAUGGUUAAGUGGGAAACGAUGUGGGAAGGCCCAGACAGCCAGGAUGUUGGCUUAGAAGCAGCCAUCAUUUAAAGAAAGCGUAAUAGCUCACUGGUCGAGUCGGCCUGCGCGGAAGAUGUAACGGGGCUAAACCAUGCACCGAAGCUGCGGCAGCGACGCUUAUGCGUUGUUGGGUAGGGGAGCGUUCUGUAAGCCUGCGAAGGUGUGCUGUGAGGCAUGCUGGAGGUAUCAGAAGUGCGAAUGCUGACAUAAGUAACGAUAAAGCGGGUGAAAAGCCCGCUCGCCGGAAGACCAAGGGUUCCUGUCCAACGUUAAUCGGGGCAGGGUGAGUCGACCCCUAAGGCGAGGCCGAAAGGCGUAGUCGAUGGGAAACAGGUUAAUAUUCCUGUACUUGGUGUUACUGCGAAGGGGGGACGGAGAAGGCUAUGUUGGCCGGGCGACGGUUGUCCCGGUUUAAGCGUGUAGGCUGGUUUUCCAGGCAAAUCCGGAAAAUCAAGGCUGAGGCGUGAUGACGAGGCACUACGGUGCUGAAGCAACAAAUGCCCUGCUUCCAGGAAAAGCCUCUAAGCAUCAGGUAACAUCAAAUCGUACCCCAAACCGACACAGGUGGUCAGGUAGAGAAUACCAAGGCGCUUGAGAGAACUCGGGUGAAGGAACUAGGCAAAAUGGUGCCGUAACUUCGGGAGAAGGCACGCUGAUAUGUAGGUGAAGCGACUUGCUCGUGGAGCUGAAAUCAGUCGAAGAUACCAGCUGGCUGCAACUGUUUAUUAAAAACACAGCACUGUGCAAACACGAAAGUGGACGUAUACGGUGUGACGCCUGCCCGGUGCCGGAAGGUUAAUUGAUGGGGUUAGCGGUAACGCGAAGCUCUUGAUCGAAGCCCCGGUAAACGGCGGCCGUAACUAUAACGGUCCUAAGGUAGCGAAAUUCCUUGUCGGGUAAGUUCCGACCUGCACGAAUGGCGUAAUGAUGGCCAGGCUGUCUCCACCCGAGACUCAGUGAAAUUGAACUCGCUGUGAAGAUGCAGUGUACCCGCGGCAAGACGGAAAGACCCCGUGAACCUUUACUAUAGCUUGACACUGAACAUUGAGCCUUGAUGUGUAGGAUAGGUGGGAGGCUUUGAAGUGUGGACGCCAGUCUGCAUGGAGCCGACCUUGAAAUACCACCCUUUAAUGUUUGAUGUUCUAACGUUGGCCCCUGAUCGGGGUUGCGGACAGUGUCUGGUGGGUAGUUUGACUGGGGCGGUCUCCUCCUAAAGAGUAACGGAGGAGCACGAAGGUUGGCUAAUCCUGGUCGGACAUCAGGAGGUUAGUGCAAUGGCAUAAGCCAGCUUGACUGCGAGCGUGACGGCGCGAGCAGGUGCGAAAGCAGGUCAUAGUGAUCCGGUGGUUCUGAAUGGAAGGGCCAUCGCUCAACGGAUAAAAGGUACUCCGGGGAUAACAGGCUGAUACCGCCCAAGAGUUCAUAUCGACGGCGGUGUUUGGCACCUCGAUGUCGGCUCAUCACAUCCUGGGGCUGAAGUAGGUCCCAAGGGUAUGGCUGUUCGCCAUUUAAAGUGGUACGCGAGCUGGGUUUAGAACGUCGUGAGACAGUUCGGUCCCUAUCUGCCGUGGGCGCUGGAGAACUGAGGGGGGCUGCUCCUAGUACGAGAGGACCGGAGUGGACGCAUCACUGGUGUUCGGGUUGUCAUGCCAAUGGCACUGCCCGGUAGCUAAAUGCGGAAGAGAUAAGUGCUGAAAGCAUCUAAGCACGAAACUUGCCCCGAGAUGAGUUCUCCCUGAGACUUUAAGUCUCCUGAAGGAACGUUGAAGACGACGACGUUGAUAGGCCGGGUGUGUAAGCGCAGCGAUGCGUUGAGCUAA